Molecule: ribosomal RNA, 301 nt
Filed under: uncultured eukaryote
Lineage: Eukaryota
Description: SSU rRNA
Rfam family: Eukaryotic small subunit ribosomal RNA
Source: RNAcentral
UAUCGUUUAUUUGAUAGUACCUUACUACAUGGAUACCUGUGGUAAUUCUAGAGCUAAUACAUGCUAAAAACCCCGACUUCAGGAAGGGGUGUAUUUAUUAGAUAAAAAACCAACGCCCUUCGGGGCUCCUUGGUGAAUCAUAAUAACUUAACGAAUCGCAUGGCCUUGCGCCGGCGAUGGUUCAUUCAAAUUUCUGCCCUAUCAACUUUCGAUGGUAGGAUAGUGGCCUACCAUGGUGGCAACGGGUAACGGGGAAUUAGGGUUCGAUUCAGGAGAGGGAGCCUGAGAAACGGCUACCACA